UUUUGGACAAUGGGCGAAAGCCUGAUCCAGCAAUGCCGCGUGUGGGAAGAAGGCCUUCGGGUUGUAAACCACCUUUGUACGGAACGAAACGGUCUGCUUUAAUACAGUGGGCUAAUGACGGUACCGUAAGAAUAAGCACCGGCUAACUACGUGCCAGCAGCCGCGGUAAUACGUAGGGUGCGAGCGUUAAUCGGAAUUACUGGGCGUAAAGCGUGCGCAGGCGGUUAUAUAAGACAGUUGUGAAAUCCCCGGGCUCAACCUGGGAAUUGCAUCUGUGACUGUAUAGCUAGAGUACGGUAGAGGGGGAUGGAAUUCCGCGUGUAGCAGUGAAAUGCGUAGAUAUGCGGAGGAACACCGAUGGCGAAGGCAAUCCCCUGGACCUGUACUGACGCUCAUGCACGAAA
This 404-nucleotide ribosomal RNA is filed under the name uncultured bacterium. RNAcentral describes it as "bacterial SSU rRNA". It matches the Rfam family "Bacterial small subunit ribosomal RNA", at positions 362 to 758 of the family's 1533-position model. The record is from RNAcentral.